GCUUCUCGCGCGGCGUUAUCUCGUGAACCUCCCCAGGGCCGGAAGGCAGCAAGGAUAAGCGGGCUCUGGCGGGUGCGCGAGGAGUUUUU
This 89-nucleotide signal recognition particle RNA is filed under the name Stackebrandtia nassauensis DSM 44728. RNAcentral describes it as "SRP RNA; RNA component of signal recognitionparti cle". It matches the Rfam family "Bacterial small signal recognition particle RNA". Rfam says of the family: The signal recognition particle (SRP) is a universally conserved ribonucleoprotein involved in the co-translational targeting of proteins to membranes. Archaeal SRP consists of a 7S RNA and homologues of the eukaryotic SRP19 and SRP54 proteins. The record is from RNAcentral. Lineage: Bacteria; Bacillati; Actinomycetota; Actinomycetes; Glycomycetales; Glycomycetaceae.